RNAcentral lists this ribosomal RNA (1461 nucleotides) under uncultured Bordetella sp. RNAcentral's name for it is "partial 16S-23S ribosomal RNA intergenic spacer". It matches the Rfam family "Bacterial small subunit ribosomal RNA". Lineage: Bacteria; Pseudomonadati; Pseudomonadota; Betaproteobacteria; Burkholderiales; Alcaligenaceae. The record is from RNAcentral.
GGGUUUGAUUAUGGCUCAGAUUGAACGCCUGGCGGGAUGCUUUACACAUGCAAGUCGAACGGCAGCACGGACUUCCGGUCUGGUGGCGAGUGGCGAACAGGUGAGAGUAAUGUAUCGGAACGUGCCUAGUAGCGGGGGAUAACUACGCGAAAGCGUAGCUAAUACCACAUACGCCCUUCGGGGAAAGCGGGGGACCUUCGGGCCUCGCACUAUUGAAGCGGCCGAUAUCGGAUUAGCUAGUUGGUGGGAGUAACGGCUCACCAAGGCGACGAUCCGUAGCUGGUUUGAGAGGACGACCAGCCACACUGGGACUUGAGACACAUUGAACUCCUACGGGAGGCAGCAGUGGGGAAUUUUGGACAAUGGGGGAAACCCUGAUCCAGCCAUCCCGCGUGUGCGAUGAAGGCCUUCGGGUUGUAAGCACUUUUGGCAGGAAAGAAACGGCGGGAUAAUACGUGCAACUGACCGUACCUGCAGAAUAAGCACCGGCUAACUACGUGCCAGCAGCCGCGGUAAUACGUAGGAUGCAAGCAUUAAUCGGAAUUACUGGGCGUAAAGCGUGCGCAGGCGGUUCGGAGAAAAGAUGUGAAAUCCCAGAGCUUAACUUUGGAACUGCAUUUUUAACUACCGAGCUAGAGAGUGUCAGAGGAGGUGGAAUUCCGCGUGCAGCAGUGAAAUGCGUAGAUAUGCGGAGGAACACCGAUGGCGAAGGCAGCCUCCUGGGAUAACACUGACGCUCAUGCACGAAAGCGGCAGGAAUGACGGAUUGAAUACCUGGUAGUCCACGCCUAAACGAUGUCAACUAGCUGUUGGGUUCGGGCCUUGGUAGCGCAACUAACGCGUGAAGUUGACCGCCUGGGGAGUACGGUCGCAAGAUUAAAACUCAAAGGAAUUGACGGGGACCCGCACAAGCAGUGGAUGAUGUGGUUAAUUCGAUGCAACGCGAAAAACCUACCCAUGACCAUGUCUGGAAUCCCGAAGAGAUUUGCAGGGUGCUCGCAAGAGAACCGGAACACAGGUGCUGCAUGGCUGUCGUCAGCUCGUGUCGUGGGAUGUUGGGUUAAGUCCCGCAACGAGCGCAACCCUUGUCAUUGGUUGCUACGAAAGGGCACUCUAAUGAGACUGCCGGUGACAAACCGGAGGAAGGUGGGGAUGACGUCAAGUCCUCAUGGCGCUUAUGGGUAGGGCUUCACACGUCAUACAAUGGUCGGGACAGAGGGUCGCCAACCCGCGAGGAGCCAAUCCCAGAAACCCGAUCGUAGUCGGAUCGCAGUCUGCAACUCGACGUGAAGUCGGAAUCGCUAGUAAUCGCGGAUCAGCAUGUCGCGGUGAAUACGUUCGGGUCUUGUACACCGCCCGUCACACCAUGGGAGUGGGUUUUACCAAGAAGUAGUUAGCCUAACCGUAAGGAGGGCGAUUACACAGUAGGAUUCAUGACUGGGGUGAAGUCGUAAUGGGUAA